CCCUGGGUAGUACAAAUGGUUAAGCGCUUGGCUGCUAACCAAAAGGUUGGAGGUUCAAAUCUACCCCAAGGU
Molecule: transfer RNA, 72 nt
Filed under: Loxodonta africana (African savanna elephant)
Lineage: Eukaryota; Metazoa; Chordata; Mammalia; Proboscidea; Elephantidae
Rfam family: tRNA
About the family: Transfer RNA (tRNA) molecules are approximately 80 nucleotides in length.
Source: Rfam by way of RNAcentral